CUAUCCAUUUUCUUUGUUUUGCCUCUUCUGUGGCAUGUUUCCUUUAAGUUACUGCAUCUAUGUGCUCAGCUAGGUGAAACAACUGAUUGAAGUAUCAAGUCAAAAAAAGUAAAGUAGUCUCGAUUAACCGCUUCCCCUAUAUGGUCCAGGAAUCUAAAAGAUAAUCCUUACACGUAUUGGAAGUACCAGCAAAAUGCUAGCGAAAUAUUUAUAAUUGCUGUGAAGGAAAAAUAACAGGAGAAUAAGUUUUACGUAAAGUGACUGACUUGAUAUCAUCUAUGGGUUUGAAUGUCAUGUUGGAGACACCAAUAUGAAGUACUCUUCUAGCGCUCCUCUCUAGUCUCUACUAUAUUAGAAAGGGCAGUUGGGGUACGAACAUGGACGAACAAGGGCAUAUUUGUGGUUUUAGAUAUUUUAAAGGGCAAAUUGGUGUUUUUGUGGAACCUUCUCACUUCCUCUCUUCCUUGUAGAGUUUUAAACAUGGAGAUUACCAACUGCGAUUAUAUUGAUAACGGGACAACUCGGUCAGGGUCCAUUGAUGUCAUCCCUGAUCCCCACUCUAUUCACACCUCCUUUACUCCCCAGGUUUCAUUCCUUUAACUUUUGAUGAAAUUUGGGAUUUUUGGGUUAUAGAUUUGAUUUACUUUUUGCUAUCUUUUGGUCGCAACAAAUUAACCUUUGCAGAACUUAUAUUCCUUUUGUUUGACGUUCAAUUGGUGCGCGAGAAUUUUCAGCUUAGGUGCACUCACUGCACUCAGCAUAUGAAAUGCAAUCUGGAAAAAAGUGCAUGAAAAAGGGAAGAACUUUGAUGCAUCCAAGGUGCUUGACAAUAUGCCUAAAACAACUUAAACAUUUUUUCCCAUUUUUAGCUAAAAUGAUGUUAUUUUCUCCUCCUAAUUUGUAGGAGCUUUAAUGGUGAUAACGCUGAAAAUAAACUAACGUGUGAUUAAUUAACAAGACUGAUUGUUGAAGGAGGAAGUUUUGUGUGAGGCUUAGAAGAAAAACCAUUUGCUCGAUUUGCAAUUACUACUUGAGUGGGUUGGUUUCUGUUUCUGUUGUGGAAGUCAUUUGCAGGUCCAGUGUAUGAAUUAAAGAUCUAUUUUUACUGGACAGAGAGAAAAGGUUUAACAAUCCUUCACUUUGAAUUUUGUUGCAACUACAUCAUCAAAAAGAAGUUCUAUUGAAAGAAAAAAGCUCGAUACUUCCUCCUUUCAAAUUCGGGAACUUUCAGAGAACAAACCCCUCUCCUUUUGGGUCAAUUUAAUGGAUCUUUAGUUCAUUCAAUUUGCCUUGGAAGAUACUAGUUAUAUGGUUUAUGCAAAAGUUUGAAGGCAGGAUUGGGAACAUUAUCAAAUCACAAUUAGGGGUGAGGUGAUGUUUGCUUAGCAAUAAAUAGAUGCUUUCAUAACGAGUUGGACGCUUAUUGUCAUACAUCAUGUUCUCCAAGGAGUUCUACCUCCAUAAAUGGGAUGAAUUGGAGUGAUCUUUUGAAAAACUAGGCGGCGUCCUGAUGGUGAGGUACAAACGAGCCUCUCCUGACGACCCUGCAACCAAAAUGAAGGUUUUGAUGCUAUGAUUUCCAGAAGCAUGAUACAAUAUUCAGUUCUCAUUAGCUAAUCAAUAGAUUGUAGACAAACUUUGUAAAUAUUCGAUGCGACUUGUGGUUACUCCCUUAUUUAAGUGAGCUUUUUUUCUUUGUA
This is a long non-coding RNA of Lycium barbarum (goji berry), 1700 nucleotides long. RefSeq lists it as uncharacterized. The transcript has 3 exons. Lineage: Eukaryota; Viridiplantae; Streptophyta; Magnoliopsida; Solanales; Solanaceae. The record is from RefSeq and is a predicted model, not a curated record.